Molecule: microRNA precursor, 205 nt
Filed under: Oryza sativa Japonica Group (Japanese rice)
Lineage: Eukaryota; Viridiplantae; Streptophyta; Magnoliopsida; Poales; Poaceae
Description: MIR812 microRNA precursor family
Rfam family: MIR812 microRNA precursor family
Source: Rfam by way of RNAcentral
AAAAAGACAAACCUUAGAUUUCCGUGUCUAACUUUGACUGUCUGUCUUAUAUAAAUUUUUUUUAUAAUUCAUAAUUUUAUUGUUGUUAGAUGAUAAAACAUGAUUAAUACUUUAUACGUGACUUGUUUUUUUAAUUUUUUAUAUAAUUUUUUUAAAUAAGACGGAUAGUCAAACAUUAAACACGGAAACCAGGUUUGUCUCUCUC